AUGGUGUAAAAGUUUGAAUUUAUUAAAAAAUAUAUUUGAAGUAGUGUUACGACAAAACGUACAAACUGAGAAUAAAUCAAAUGAAUGAAAAGGGCCUAAUAGCUGCCUCCCCUCUAUGCUUACCCAGAAAUGCUAAGCUUCAAAUUACAUCUCUCCAUACAGGACAAGUACAACUUAACAGCCACCCUGGGAAUGAGCCAGUGCCUCCCACAUGCUAGGGGAGUCUAAUUGUAACACAGACAUAACAGGUAAAUGACCUUAAUACAACCAUCUUUGACACUCAAACUGGUGUCUCUGGAUAAACCCCUUUGACAGAUACAUCAAAUGACUCAGACUGCUGGCAACAACUGACAUUACUGAAGAUUUGGAAAAUAACUUAUUUGUCUCUACAGAAGCUUAUUUUUCUUUUAAAAACAAGAUUCCCCCUCUUUGCCUAUGGCUUACUAAAGUACCAUAAUCUAAUAACAGAUCAUAUGUUUUACCAUGGUGCAGUGAAAUUACUAGCAAGGUAAGUGGGGGACAUCUGUUUAGUUUUGUGUAUGCAAAUUCAUUCAGGAGCAUAAUCUGCAUAUUUGUUCAUAUUUCUUUAAUAAGUCUAAAUGUAAAUAUUUUUCCAAUGCUUCCUGUGGAUCUUAUGUUGAGUUUGUUUUCAUUGCUUCUUCGGGAGAGGUCUCGUUUUUAAAAGAUAGGAAUUACAAAGUGAUAAUCUAUAUAAUAAUAUAAGAGAUGUAUUAUUUAAUUUCAACAUUAAUGCAUUUCUGUCAGAAUAUUAAAAAAAUUAAGACAAUACAUUUUACACAAAAACAAAAACUUUUAAUUUUCUUAAAGAGCAUUCAAAAAAGCUUGCAUGUUCCGGUAUUUUAGUCACAUAACUUGGUUUCCCUCCAUACUAAAUAACAUCAAAUGAAAUUGGCAAAAAAAAAAAGGGAAAGAACCACCUAGAGAUUUAAACACAGAAUGCCAAAUAAUGUUUAACUAGCAUCACUAGAAACCCUUAACUUAUAAAGAAAGAGUAUUCUGACCAAUAUAUCACUUUGAAAUCGUUCCCUCCCACAACAGCAGGAACCUGUAGAAAGAACACUUCAUUCAAAGCAACACUUUAGAUUAGGCCCAAGAAAUGAAUUCAGUAUCAUUAUUAAAUCUAUUUUUGUUCCAUAUCACUGCAUUACUAACAUAGGGCUUAUUCAAUGAUGCAAAACCUUCAGCGCAUUUCAGACAGACACAUAUUGCACACAACUGACAACUCUUCCAAAUAACAUGUAGUUAUAGAAUGACAUUCCUUUCUGUUUCACAAUGUUCUACCUUAUUAGGAGUUAUAACUACAUGCUGACAUGGGAAUGAUUACAGUCACAUCUUGAUUUACAAGUUUACCGGUAUUGAAAUUAUAUUAUACAUUAUGCAUAAAUACCAGAAGUACUUUACAUGUACUAGGAUCACUAGUCAAAUUAAUUUUGGCCUGGGGUCAACUGAAGGGGUUGCUUCACAGUUUGCACAACAAGCUUUUUGUUUUUAAAUAUACUUUCUAUAAAAAUAUAGAAGAGUACCUGUGCUUUUUUGUUCCUCAUUGCUAACUACAAUGCAGAAUAAAACACUCCACGGAGGAGUAAAAUCCCCACAAGAUUGAAACAACUUGGUGUAAACAAAGGCCCACAGACAAAACGUGUCCUGAAAUGGUUUUACUGCAUACAAUUCACAGUGUUAUGAGAUGUGACGGUCACAAUACAUAAAUUAUCCUAUUUGGUCUUUUCUCUCUUUUCAUGAGGAUUUCAUGUUUGUUACUUCGUGAUUUAGCGAGUCCGUGACACGGAUGACAUGCUCAAAUGGACAGUAAUGCUUCAUGGUCUUCCCUUGGGAGCUUUUCAGUCAACUUGUUUUGGCAGUGAUAACUCUUAUGGGAACUGGAGUUGUUCAUAAAAAAAUGGAGGAUAUUAUUCAAAACAGGAUUGCAAUGUCGCGGCCGUGAGAUGCUUGAGGAAGAAAGAAAUAACUGGAUAAAAACAAAAGGCAGUUUGAAUGAAACACAGUCCACGGAGGCUUUGUAGAUUAUAUGUUUCUACAAAAGUGGGUCUGAAGGUGAGCUAUAGUAGUGUAGCCCGUUGCGCUAGCUUGUGCUUUCCAGUGAGCGAGGCUGCUUGUCCCAUGUGAUCGUGCGUCAAUGGCAUGCCCUGUGCUGCCCCCCAAAAAACAGACAGACACGCAUGCUCUAGUAAAAAGAACAUAGAUAAUAUCAUACGUCACAACAAUGUUUUUUUACGAAAAAUAUGACCGUGUUCCUGUCAGUUGUCAUUGACAAGAAACAUGAGACCUAAAUGUGUAUUACAAGGAUUGCGGGGAGGCAUAGGGAACAACAGAACGGACAGUCUCUGACAUGCCUUUUUACCAACAGCACAACAAAUAAGAUUAAGUCAAUUCAAUACAGUAAAGUGCAAGGCUACUAUUGUUAUUUUCAUCAUUAUUAAUCAUAAGAUCAUUGUCAACAAAUAAACAAUGUUAUAAUUGUCAUGGGGGUAGUAUAGCCCAUGCUGAAAUGGUCCACAUUGGUUGUCAAUGUUACAGUGGGGAGAACAGUGGCAGUUCGACCCCCAACCCUCCAUGUCCUUGGAAUGUAUGCUGGUUGAGUUUGACCCAAAAAAAAAACACUAAUGGGAGCACAGUUAAGUCAUUAAAUUGCUAUGACAACUGCACAUCUUUUUCACAGUUACUACAAUUAACUAUUUGACAUACGUACUUAAGACAAAAACAUCUCUCUGUAUCACAUACUGUUUUUUUUUUUUCUUCAAUUAUACAUAAAUAUACACAUUUAAAGUGGUAAUUAUUUUCUUACUUUUGAAAUUUAAAAUUUCUUAUUAAAUACUUAAAAAUGUUUGGCUAUCUUUGUUCACCAUCACAAACAUGUACUGAAAAAUGGUUGCUAGGAGUCCAUUCAAGCACAAGCCGGUUCCAUUGCCCCGCCUGUAUAAGGAAACAAGACAGUGCUUGCUGCCAUAUAAGGGCAGGGGCUAGACGGCUGUUGUUGGAACUAACCUGCAAUCAGACUAACAUGAACUCGACAGAGUAAACGCUAUGGACAAUAAUACUGAAUAGACAUGCAAUGAGAGAGAAAAAAAACGCAGCAUGAACUCUCUCAGUAAACCAUCAUGCCUAAGACAACCAGUUAAAGGAAUGCCAUUAUAGAGGCUUAUUAACUAUGAAUGACACAGGGUAUUUAAAAGUCCUACAUUUCCCAGAAACCAACAGUUUCUAAAUCAGUACUGGUACCUCCCUUAACAUAAUUUAUUUAAUCCCCCACUGAUCUGAAAUAACUGGGCAGGAUAAAGCAGGUAAAGGAGAGGUUAUGAGGAAACAUACACUUAUUAAGAUGCAACAAACAAAGAGAAAGGCCUCUGCCACCCAUACAAUGUAUGAGUCUCACAAAGCAUCAUGUCAACAUCUUAGAUAUCUAGUCACGGUCAAAGAAAAACAUUUAAAAGAUCCACAGCAGAAGAAGCAUAACCCUGGGUCCUCACGUGAAUUCUCUGGAAAACCCAGGUCGGCUGAGGUUAGUCCGUUUACACAUGUUGACGGUCCUGUGAGCAGUCGGUUAGCUGUGUACCUGUGGGGUGCUUGAAUCUACACCCGUGUGGAACCCAGUACGGGAACUUCCUCGGACGCAAGGAGCAACCGUGAAAGACUAGAGACCACCUGCCUGCCCGGUCACUGCACCACUGGCUGACAUGUUGGCAGAUCAUCCAGAGCUGCCGACUACGCCACCCCCUGACUACACCACAGGGGUACUUAGGGUUAAACUGUCCUUCAGGGUCCGCAUAGGCACACUGUCCCCAGCCCCCCACCCCAUAGGCCUCGGUUUUACAGAGCGGACUAUAGAAACAAAACAAACAAAAAGCAACGCACAGGCAAUUACAUUAGAAUUAGAUCUGUAUUCAAACCGGCUGAUCUAGUAAGUUAAACAUAAACAUGCAGAGUAGUCUCACUCUAAACUCUACAGCCAGUUGACUUGGCCAC
Esox lucius (northern pike) is the source of this 4002-nucleotide long non-coding RNA. Lineage: Eukaryota; Metazoa; Chordata; Actinopteri; Esociformes; Esocidae. The record is from Ensembl.